Molecule: ribosomal RNA, 428 nt
Filed under: uncultured bacterium
Lineage: Bacteria
Description: bacterial SSU rRNA
Rfam family: Bacterial small subunit ribosomal RNA
Source: RNAcentral
UGGGGAAUAUUGCGCAAUGGGCGAAAGCCUGACGCAGCGACGCCGCGUGAGGGAUGAAGGUUUUCGGAUCGUAAACCUCUGUCAGAAGGGAAGAAACUGUGCCGCUCUAAUCAACGGCGCACUGACGGUACCUUCAAAGGAAGCACCGGCUAACUCCGUGCCAGCAGCCGCGGUAAUACGGAGGGUGCAAGCAUUAAUCGGAAUUACUGGGCGUAAAGCGCACGUAGGCUGUUGUGUAAGUCAGGGGUGAAAUCCCACGGCUCAACCGUGGAACUGCCUUUGAUACUGCGCGACUUGAAUCCGGGAGAGGGUGGCGGAAUUCCAGGUGUAGGAGUGAAAUCCGUAGAUAUCUGGAGGAACAUCAGUGGCGAAGGCGGCCACCUGGACCGGUAUUGACGCUGAGGUGCGAAAGCGUGGGGAGCAAACAG